ACUAGCAGUAAGAGUUUGAUCAUGGCUCAGAACGAACGCUGGCGGCGCGCCUAACACAUGCAAGUCGGACGCACGGGGUUCUUCGGGGCUCCAUGAGUGGCGGACGGGUGAGUAACACGUGGGAACCUGCCCUGGGGUCUGGGAUAGCUGCGGGAAACUGCAGGUAACACCGGAUGUGCCCCUUCCUGUAAGAGGGACGGGGAAAGUUUACGCCCUGGGAUGGGCCCGCGUCGGAUUAGGUAGACGGUGGGGUAGUGGCCUACCGUGCCUGCGAUCCGUAGCCGGUCUGAGAGGACGAUCGGCCACACUGGGACUGAGACACGGCCCAGACUCCUACGGGAGGCAGCAGUGGGGAAUCUUGGACAAUGGGGGCAACCCUGAUCCAGCGACGCCGCGUGGGUGAUGAAGGCCUUCGGGUCGUAAAGCCCUUUUGCCGGGGAAGAUGAUGACGGUACCCGGAGAAGAAGCACCGGCUAACUCUGUGCCAGCAGCCGCGGUAAUUC
RNAcentral lists this ribosomal RNA (503 nucleotides) under uncultured bacterium. RNAcentral describes it as "bacterial SSU rRNA". It matches the Rfam family "Bacterial small subunit ribosomal RNA", at positions 1 to 526 of the family's 1533-position model. The record is from RNAcentral.